This is an RNA transcript of Phragmites australis (common reed), 1333 nucleotides long. It is a transcript of the gene named GCN5-related N-acetyltransferase 5, chloroplastic-like, with no coding region annotated. The record is from RefSeq and is a predicted model, not a curated record. Lineage: Eukaryota; Viridiplantae; Streptophyta; Magnoliopsida; Poales; Poaceae. The transcript is spliced from 3 exons.
UAGAAGAAAAUCCGCCUCUGGCGUUCCUGGCUUUCCCCCUCCCGCUCCGCGGUGGCGUCUCCCAUGGCCGCGUCGCCUGCCCUCCUCUCGCUGACCCCCGCCGUCUCCAGGCACCCCCACCUCCUCUUCUCCCCCUGCCCCUCGCCGCGCCACCUCCGCCUCGCCCCUCCCGCCGCCGCCUCCGCCUCCCCGGGCGGCGGCCCCGGCGGCGGCGGAGGGGGCGUCUUCCUCUCGCCGCGUGCGCUCUCACAGCUCGACGAGCUAGCGGCGUUCCGCUAUGAGCACUCAUUCCCGCACGGAAGCCUCACCGUGCGGGCGCUCACCCCCGACGACGACGCCAUGGCCGAGGCGCUCGUCCGCCUCCUCGCCUCCUCCUUCUCCGAGACCGUCCGGUGGGCCCCGGCCCAGCGGUACGCCCAGCUCCUCACGUUCGUCAUCCGCAGGUACCUCCACGAGCGCCGCGGACUCGCGCCCCACGCUGCGGUGCUUGUGGGGUUCUACCGCCCCGCCGAUGCCGCCGCCACGGAGGAGGACGGGGACGGAGAGGGGGAAGGGGAGGCGGAGGGCGGCGAUGAGGGGGAGAUGGCGUGCACGGCGGAGGUGUCGUUUGACGCGGUGGGCGCGCCCGGGGCCCCGCCCACGCCCACCCCGCCGCUCGAGUUCCCGUACAUCUGCAAUAUGACUGUGAAGACGUCAUUGAGGAGGAGAGGAAUUGGAAAGCAACUUCUUAAGGCGUGCGAGGAUCUAGUUAUCAAGAUGGAUGCCAAAAGACGCAUAUAUCUUCAUUGUAGAAUAAUCGAUCAAGUCCCGUUCAACAUGUACAGGAAAGCUGGAUAUAAUAUUGUCCAGACUGACAGCAUUUUAGUUUGGUUGAGCCUUCAAAAGCGGAAGCACUUGAUGAGCAAGGAAUUGCCGCAAGCAUCUGUUGGCAGUGAAAUUACGACCAAAGACUUCGAUGAUAAUAUCAUGACAAGCUAAAAGUGCCACAGCACCAUUAGGUACACAUAAGGUUGACUUUUGUGUAUAAAUUAUCCUCCAGUAUUCCAGAAGCCAUUUUCAAAGUGUGCUGGUGUUGCUGUUCUUACUACUGUUAACUGUAAUCCACAUUCUUGACAGUUGUUCAAGUUAAUGAGGGCUGUUCUUAACCCCCUCUGAAUAGCUGUAAUGACAUUGAAGCUUGUGAUGUUAUCCUCUGAGCAGUAUAUGCAUCCAAUGAGUUUCCCACCUUCGUAGAGAUAAUUUUUCCUGAAGAACCAUCGGGAACUCGAUAUGACUAAAAUAUUGAUCUCACGUAAGUUUGCAGCUAAUCUUGCAUCAAGUUUAUCCAAGUGUA